AAGAUUGGACAAUGGGGGCAACCCUGAUCCAGCCAUGCCGGGUGGGUGAAGAAGGUCUUCGGAUUGUAAAGCAUUUUAAGUUGGGAGGAAGGGCUUUAGGUUAAUACCCUGAAGUUUUGACGUUACCAACAGAUUAUGCACCGGCUAACUCUUUGCCAGCAGCCGCGGUAAUACAGAGGUUGACAGCGUUAAUCGGAAUUACUGGGCGUAAAGCGCGCGUAGGUGGUUCAGUAAGAUGGGUGUGAAAUCCCCGGGCUUAACCUGGGAACUGCUUUCAUAACUGCUGAGCUAGAGUACGGUAGAGGGUAGUGGAAUUUCCUGUGUAGCGGUGAAAUGCGUAGAUAUAGGAAGGAACACCAGUGGCGAAGGCGACUACCUGGACUGAUACUGACACUGGGGUGCGAAAGCGUGGGGAGCAAAC
Molecule: ribosomal RNA, 421 nt
Filed under: uncultured bacterium
Lineage: Bacteria
Description: partial 16S ribosomal RNA
Rfam family: Bacterial small subunit ribosomal RNA
Source: RNAcentral